This 1987-nucleotide ribosomal RNA is filed under the name human gut metagenome. Its description in RNAcentral is "bacterial LSU rRNA". It matches the Rfam family "Bacterial large subunit ribosomal RNA", at positions 3 to 2022 of the family's 2925-position model. The record is from RNAcentral.
UCAAGCAUGUAAGAGCGUAGGGUGGAUGCCUUGGCACUAAGAGCCGAUGAAAGACGUGAUAAGCUGCGAUAAGCUUCGGGGAGGAGCAAAUAUCCUUUGAUCCGGAGAUUUCUGAAUGGGGAAACCCACUUGAGUAAACCUCAAGUAUCCAUACGCCAAUCCAUAACGUAUGGAAGGGAACCCGGGGAACUGAAACAUCUAAGUACCCGGAGGAAAAGAAAGAAACAUCGAUUUCCUGAGUAGCGGCGAGCGAAAGGGAAGGAGCCUAAACUGCGGUGCGUGCACUGCAGGGUUAAGGACUGCAAUAAGUUAUACUCAGAGUUACCAGAACGGUAUUGGGAAAGCCGGCCAGAGAGGGUGAAAGCCCCGUAUGGGAAAACAAAGAGGGACAAGCAGUAUCCAAAGUACCACGAGACACGAGAAACCUUGUGGGAAGUCGGGGGGACCACCCCCCAAGGCUAAAUACUCCUUAGUGACCGAUAGCGCAUAGUACUGUGAAGGAAAGGUGAAAAGGACCCCGGGAGGGGAGUGAAAGAGAACCUGAAACCCUGUGUUUACAAGCUGUGGGAGCACGUUAAGGUGCAACCGCGUACUUUUUGUAGAACGGUCCGGCGAGUUGCCGGUGCUGGCAAGGUUAAGCGAUCAAGUCGUGGAGCCGUAGGGAAACCAAGCCUAAAUAGGGCCAAAGUCAGCACAGGCAGACCCGAAACCGGGUGAUCUACCCAUGUCCAGGAUGAAGCGGGAGUAAAAUCCCGUGGAGGUCCGAACGCACAUCCGUUGAAAAGGGUGGCGAUGAGGUGUGGGUAGGGGAGAAAUUCCAAUCGAACCCGGAGAUAGCUGGUUCUCCUCGAAAUAGCUUUAGGGCUAGCCUCGGUGCAAUCUGCUGGAGGUAGGGCACUGAAUUCCCGCGGGGGCGUCAAAGCCUACCAAAGGAUAUCAAACUGCGAAUGCCAGACAGAUGGUCACCGGGAGUCAGACCACACGAGAUAAGUUGGGUGGUCAAAAGGGAAAGAGCCCAGACCUGCAGCUAAGGUCCCAAAGUGCGUGUUAAGUGGAAAAGGAUGUGGGAUCUCGAAGACAACUAGGAUGUUGGCUCAGAAGCAGCCAUACAUUCAAAGAGUGCGUAAUAGCUCACUAGUCGAGAGGUCCUGCGCCGAAAAUGUCCGGGGCUGAAACACAACACCGAAGCUGCGGAAUUGCGAAUGCAAUUGGUAGAGGAGCAUUCUUAAUACCGACGAAGCUGUACCGGAAGGAGCAGUGGAGGGAUAAGAAGAGAGAAUGCCGGAAUGAGUAGCGAGAGGAAGGUGGGAAUCCUUCCGGCCGAAUAUCUAAGGUUUCCAGAGUAAAGCUGAUCUGCUCUGGGUAAGUCGGGGCCUAAGGCGAGGACGAGAGUCGUAGCCGAUGGACAACAGGUGGAGAUUCCUGUACUGCGGUAUGACAGAACUGUGGGGACACGUAAGGAAAGCGGAAGCCGGGAAUGGAAAGCCCGGUGCAAGCGGGGUACCAGUCACUUUGGCAAAUCCGGGUGGCAAUGGGAAGCCGUGAUGCGGAGCGAAAUAAAGUAGCGAAGUCCGUGAGCCAUGCGUCAAGAAAAGCCGCUAUCGUUUAUACCGUACCCGUACCGUAAACCGACACAGGUGGAUGAGGAGAGAAUCCUAAGGCCGGCGGAAGAAGUAUUGUUAAGGAACUCGGCAAAAUGACCCCGUAACUUCGGGAGAAGGGGUGCCUGCGAGAGCAGGCCGCAGAGAAGAGGCCCAAGCAACUGUUUAGCAAAAACACAGGUCUAUGCAAAACCGAAAGGUGAGGUAUAUGGGCUGACGCCUGCCCGGUGCUGGAAGGUUAAGGGGAGAGGUUAGCCGUAAGGCGAAGCUUUGAACUUAAGCCCCAGUAAACGGCGGCCGUAACUAUAACGGUCCUAAGGUAGCGAAAUUCCUUGUCGGGUAAGUUCCGACCCGCACGAAAGGCGUAAUGAUUUGGGCACUGUCUC